This 253-nucleotide ribosomal RNA is filed under the name uncultured bacterium. RNAcentral's name for it is "partial 16S ribosomal RNA". It matches the Rfam family "Bacterial small subunit ribosomal RNA", at positions 524 to 776 of the family's 1533-position model. The record is from RNAcentral.
UACGAAGGGGGCUAGCGUUGCUCGGAAUCACUGGGCGUAAAGGGUGCGUAGGCGGGUCUUUAAGUCAGGGGUGAAAUCCUGGAGCUCAACUCCAGAACUGCCUUUGAUACUGAGGAUCUUGAGUUCGGGAGAGGUGAGUGGAACUGCGAGUGUAGAGGUGAAAUUCGUAGAUAUUCGGAAGAACACCAGUGGCGAAGGCGGCUCACUGGCCCGAUACUGACGCUGAGGUGCGAAAGCGUGGGGAGCAAACAGG